GGCCAUUUGGUGAAUGCUUAUCACAAUGAAAUUUCAAUUCAUAGUACUACAUGGCUA
Molecule: transfer RNA, 57 nt
Filed under: Trichuris suis (pig whipworm)
Lineage: Eukaryota; Metazoa; Nematoda; Enoplea; Trichinellida; Trichuridae
Description: tRNA-Glu
Source: RNAcentral